Molecule: RNA transcript, 17941 nt
Organism: Symphalangus syndactylus (siamang)
Lineage: Eukaryota; Metazoa; Chordata; Mammalia; Primates; Hylobatidae
Gene: PLCL2
Gene name: phospholipase C like 2
Source: RefSeq, a predicted model, not a curated record
GUUAUUUUUGGCGCCCGCAGAGGCGCGUGUGUUGGGGCGUGUUUUCCUUCCCCAGGUGCCGAGAGCCGGGGCUCCGCCGGCGCCCGAACUGACUGGUCUCUCUCUUCUCUCCCCUGCAGGAAUCUUCCGAUAAUUCUGCCGCGGCGACUUUAACCGUGCGCAAGGCGAGAGCUCGAAACAAACAUCACAUCUAAAUUAAAAAAAAAAAAAAAAAAAAAAAGCGGAAGAAGCGGCCGAGGCGGCGGCGGCGGGAGGAGGAGAGGAGGAGGGGCCGCGCGCGGCGGCCCGAGGCGGCGGCGGGGACGCGGGGACGCGAGGACGCGGCUUUGUGCAGGCGGGUCGCGGGGCGCCCAUGGCGGAGUGCGGCCGGGGGGGCGCCGCCGGCGGGGCCCUGCCCACCUCCCCGGGCCCGGCCCUCGGCGCCAAGGGCGCCCUGAAAGCCGGAGUGGGGGAAGGCGGUGGCGGGGGAGGUCGCCUCGGCCACGGGCGGGCGCGCUAUGACAGCGGCGGGGUUUCCAACGGAGACUGCAGCCUCGGCGUGUCCGGGGACGAAGCCCGGGCUAGCCCUGCCAGGGGACCCCGCAGCGUUGCGCUCGCCCCGACCCCCAGCGCGGUCGUCUGUACCCUCCCCCGGGAGAGCAAGCCGGGCGGCCUGCCCCGCCGGAGCAGCAUCAUCAAGGAUGGUACAAAACAGAAGAGGGAACGGAAAAAAACAGUCUCAUUCAGCAGCAUGCCAACAGAGAAGAAGAUCAGCAGUGCAAGUGAUUGUAUUAAUUCAAUGGUUGAGGGUUCAGAACUCAAAAAGGUUCGCUCCAACUCUAGAAUUUAUCAUAGGUACUUUUUACUGGAUGCCGACAUGCAGAGCCUAAGGUGGGAGCCAUCUAAGAAGGAUUCUGAGAAAGCCAAGAUUGAUAUUAAAUCCAUCAAGGAAGUGAGAACAGGAAAAAACACAGACAUAUUCCGCAGCAAUGGCAUUUCUGACCAGAUAUCUGAAGAUUGUGCGUUUUCCGUCAUAUAUGGAGAGAAUUAUGAGUCACUGGAUUUGGUUGCCAACUCCGCAGAUGUUGCAAACAUUUGGGUUACGGGACUGCGGUACCUAAUUUCUUAUGGAAAACAUACGCUUGAUAUGUUAGAAAGUAGCCAAGAUAACAUGAGGACUUCUUGGGUUUCACAAAUGUUUAGUGAAAUCGAUGUAGAUAACCUUGGACAUAUAACUCUGUGUAAUGCUGUGCAAUGUAUCAGAAACCUCAAUCCUGGUUUAAAAACGAGCAAAAUUGAGCUUAAGUUCAAAGAAUUGCAUAAAUCAAAGGACAAAGCUGGUACCGAGGUCACAAAGGAAGAAUUUAUUGAGGUUUUUCAUGAGCUUUGUACUAGACCUGAAAUUUAUUUCCUUUUAGUUCAGUUUUCAAGCAAUAAAGAAUUCCUUGAUACCAAGGACCUUAUGAUGUUUCUUGAGGCAGAACAGGGUGUGGCACAUAUAAAUGAGGAAAUAAGCCUUGAAAUUAUUCACAAAUAUGAGCCAUCCAAAGAGGGUCAGGAAAAGGGAUGGCUCUCCAUAGAUGGGUUCACUAAUUACCUUAUGUCACCUGACUGUUAUAUAUUUGAUCCAGAACAUAAGAAGGUCUGUCAGGAUAUGAAGCAACCUCUGUCUCAUUACUUUAUAAACUCAUCUCAUAAUACAUACUUAAUAGAGGAUCAGUUCCGAGGUCCCUCCGACAUCACAGGAUAUAUUCGAGCUCUUAAAAUGGGUUGCCGGAGUGUUGAAUUAGAUGUAUGGGAUGGGCCGGACAAUGAACCUGUAAUUUACACAGGCCACACCAUGACCUCUCAGAUAGUUUUCCGCAGUGUCAUUGAUAUUAUUAACAAGUAUGCAUUCUUUGCUUCAGAGUAUCCUCUUAUCUUGUGUUUAGAAAACCACUGUUCCAUUAAACAGCAGAAGGUAAUGGUUCAGCACAUGAAGAAACUUUUAGGAGACAAGCUCUAUACAACAUCACCCAAUGUUGAGGAAUCUUAUCUACCAUCCCCAGAUGUCCUGAGAGGGAAAAUACUAAUUAAAGCAAAGAAGCUGUCCUCAAAUUGCUCUGGGGUAGAAGGAGAUGUUACUGAUGAAGAUGAAGGAGCAGAAAUGUCUCAGAGGAUGGGAAAAGAGAAUGUGGAGCAACCCAACCAUGUGCCUGUGAAGCGAUUUCAGCUUUGUAAAGAACUGUCUGAACUGGUCAGCAUCUGCAAAUCAGUUCAGUUCAAAGAAUUUCAGGUGUCAUUUCAGGUUCAGAAGUACUGGGAAGUCUGUUCCUUUAAUGAAGUGCUUGCCAGCAAGUAUGCCAAUGAAAAUCCAGGGGACUUUGUAAAUUACAACAAACGUUUCCUUGCUAGGGUUUUUCCCAGUCCAAUGAGAAUUGAUUCCAGUAACAUGAACCCUCAAGAUUUUUGGAAAUGUGGUUGCCAAAUUGUAGCCAUGAACUUUCAGACACCAGGACUGAUGAUGGACCUGAAUAUUGGCUGGUUUAGGCAGAACGGAAACUGUGGCUAUGUCCUCCGGCCGGCCAUCAUGAGGGAGGAGGUCUCCUUCUUCAGCGCCAAUACAAAAGACUCUGUCCCAGGGGUCUCACCUCAACUUCUUCACAUUAAAAUCAUCAGUGGGCAGAACUUUCCCAAGCCGAAAGGAUCAGGUGCCAAAGGUGACGUGGUGGAUCCUUAUGUCUAUGUUGAAAUCCAUGGAAUCCCUGCUGAUUGUGCAGAACAAAGGACAAAAACAGUGCACCAGAAUGGAGACGCUCCCAUUUUUGAUGAAAGCUUUGAAUUUCAAAUCAACCUGCCUGAACUGGCCAUGGUGCGCUUUGUAGUGCUGGAUGAUGACUACAUUGGGGAUGAAUUCAUUGGCCAGUACACAAUUCCCUUUGAAUGUUUACAGACGGGCUACCGCCAUGUCCCCCUGCAGUCCUUAACUGGAGAGGUCCUUGCACAUGCUUCUUUAUUUGUCCACGUGGCUAUUACUAACCGAAGAGGAGGAGGGAAGCCUCAUAAAAGGGGCCUUUCUGUGAGAAAAGGGAAGAAAUCCAGGGAAUAUGCAUCUUUGAGAACAUUGUGGAUUAAAACUGUGGAUGAGGUAUUCAAGAAUGCCCAACCCCCUAUACGGGAUGCCACAGAUCUGAGAGAAAACAUGCAGAAUGCGGUGGUGUCAUUCAAGGAGCUGUGUGGCCUCUCCUCUGUGGCCAAUCUCAUGCAGUGCAUGUUGGCGGUGUCUCCCCGCUUUCUGGGGCCCGAUAACACACCCCUAGUGGUCCUGAAUCUCAGUGAGCAGUACCCCACAAUGGAGCUGCAGGGAAUUGUGCCAGAGGUUCUGAAGAAGAUCGUAACAACUUAUGACAUGAUGAUUCAGUCCCUCAAGGCGUUGAUUGAAAAUGCAGAUGCUGUAUAUGAAAAGAUCGUACAUUGUCAGAAGGCAGCCAUGGAAUUCCAUGAACACUUGCACAGCAUAGGCACCAAGGAAGGUUUGAAGGAAAGAAAACUACAAAAAGCAGUGGAGAGCUUUACCUGGAAUAUUACCAUCUUAAAGGGACAAGCAGAUCUUUUGAAAUAUGCUAAGAAUGAGACGUUGGAGAACCUGAAACAAAUCCAUUUUGCUGCUGUUUCAUGUGGACUGAAUAAACCAGGCACCGAAAAUGCUGAUGUCCAGAAGCCACGCCGGAGCUUGGAAGUCAUACCUGAAAAAGCAAACGAUGAAACUGGAGAAUGAGGAAACUUAACAAUAAAUCAUUAUGGAGUUUAUAACUCUAGGACCAAUUGUAGUCAGAUGGGACAUUUGCUUUGCACUCACUAAUGAGAAUAAUAUUCGGGAUUUUAAAGCACAACUGGAAUAGCUAAUUACAGUCUAUUAAAACUGUGAAUGUAUGUAGCAAUCCUGCGUGUGAAGGCAAAUAAACUCUUUAACAAGCAAUUAUAUAGCUGGCCAAAAUAUGCUAUAUUUGUAUACAAAGACAUUCUAACUCAGUUCCGGUAUGAAGAAAAGAUUAUUCACUUUAGCUCCAUUGAGAAACAUUUUCCUAAGUGAAAACAAUUUCUUAAGAUGGAAAUGGAUUGGAUUCACAAAUUAUUAUUUAUUGGAGAAAAAAACCUGAUCUACGCAUUUUUACUUACGUGGGGUUGCCAGAGUCUCUGGGUUCUAGAUGAUUUUGGUGGCAUGCUUGCUGAGCCAUAAUUACUAAAGAGAAUGUAAGUGGACAGGUUCCCUGAAUCCCCGGGGUCCUUGGAGAGCCGUCGAGGAGAAUGUGCAAUUGGACUGAAGCUCCCUGGCUGAAGACACAUGCCGAGUCAGCACAUGGGUGGAGAUGAUGGAAAAGCAGCCAAUCUGGAAACAAUACAUUUGGGACUCUUUGUUGGGGCUGUGAGCCGAGGACUGUGUCCAAGACACUUUGUACAUACCAUUUCAUCUUCUCAACAACCGGCAAAGUACUUGUCUGAUGUUACAGAUGAAGAAAUGAAGACUUUAGACAGGUUAGUUAACGUAACUAAGGCCACGGAGUGCUGAAGUCAGGCUUUAAACUCAGCUUUGCCUGCUCCAAAGCCUCUAUUCCCAACCAUUCUUCUGAAUUCCAGAUAUAUAUAUAUAUAUAUAUAUAUCCUCUAAACUACAAGAUGGGUACUAUCUUGUAAAGCAUAAUGAGGCAGUUGGCAUUUUCUUCUUUUUUUUUUCGAAACAGUCUCGCUCUGUUGCAUAGGCUACAGUGCAGUGGUGCAAUCUCAGCUCACUACAACUCUUGCCUCUCAGGUUCAAAUGAUUCUCCUGUCUCAGCCUCCUGAGUAGCCAGGACUACAGGGGUGCACCACCACUCCCUGCUGAUUUUUGUAUUUUUAGUAGAGACGGUUUCACCGUGUUGGCCAGGCUGAUCUCGAACUCCUGAACUCAAGCGAUCCACCCACCUUGGCCUCCCAAAGUGCUGGGAUUACAGGCGAGAGCCACUGUGCCCAGCUUUAUUCUUCUUAAAUGCGAUACAUGAACUCUCUAGAAGCCACUGAGACUCUGAUUUUAUUUAGCACAUUUUAGACACCAGGGAUUCACUCUGGAUAAAAACAGGCAUGGUCCCAGCCCCCAUGGAACUCACAGUGUAAUUGGGAAGAGAGAGACAUUUAUUCAAAUAAUUCCAAAGGUAUAGGUGCAAUUAAAACUAUGGAAAGUGCUAUGAAGAGGCCCCACUGAGAGGCUGCCUGGGUUCCAUCCCAUCACUUCAUAGCUGAGUGCUGAGGGGAGGUGUGCUUAACCUACCUUACCUCUGUAAUUGUGGAAUUAUUUUGUUUAGUGCUGCUUUCCUUUACAGGGUCUUAUGAGUUGUUUGUAAAGCACUUAGACCAGCACCCAGCUGGCAGUGGACUUGUUGUAAUGUUGCCAUUCGUUAUUGAUAGGUGGGACCAUGAGGGUGUUUAACGGGGCCUCACCACUCUUGAGAAGAUGGAGGGAGUAUUUAGUGCUCUGUAACCCAACCUCUAUAACCUGAAACAGUCAUUUGUUCUCAUGUCUGGGGCUUUGUGUGUCGACUGGGCUCACCUCAGUUUUCUUACUUGGGGUCUCUUGUGCAGGCGCUGGCAGAUGUUAGCAGGGGCUUUGGUUAUGUGACUGGGCUGAACUGCCGGCUGGCUCACUAGCUAGUACAGCCACUGCAGGGAGCUCAUCUGGGGCUGUGGACCAGAGCAUCUGCAUAGGUCUCUCCAUGUGGCUUGGACCCCUCACUGCAGGACACUGCGUUCGGAGAGGGAUUGUCCCAAGGGCAAGCAUUCCAAAGACCCACGUGGAAGUAGCUUUUCUUCCUGAGGCUCCUGGAGGCCUAUCCUCAGAAGCCUCGGCAUGUCCCUGCUGCUACAUCCUAUUGUUUAGGCAAGUCGCUAGGUCCUGCCCAGGUCCAAGGGGGUGGAGAACUCGACCAGAGGGUGGCAAGGUCACAUUGUGGAAAAUGAUAUGGGAUAGGAGAUGUUAAGACUAUUUUUGGAAAAUACAGUCUACUGUGGAAGCUUCCCUGAGAAAGCGGUAUUUGAGCUGAGACCUGAAGGCAAAGAUGCUCUCCCUACUUGCCCCACCCCAAAAAAAAAGGGUCAGCAGUAGGGGAUAGAAGAGUGGAAAGCAAUUAGGCAAUUUAGACCAAGAGCCCAGCAUUCUGCAAAGGCCGGAGGCAGGAGGGAGCGCAGCCUUGCUUGAGGACCUGAAAGGACAGUGAGACUGGGGUGCAGAGAAGGAAAAUGAGAGGGUGUGGAGGGAGUUUCAAGGGCACGGGGCCUCUCAGGGAGGGCUUGGCAGUCCUUGUUAGGGAGUUUGUUCUUGUUUUCCUAAAAGAUUAGUGCCAACCAUUUAGUUGUAUUAUAUUUAACCCACUUUGCAUUCAUUUUACUUAAUUACAAAAGAAGUACAUGCUCAUUGUUACCAAAAAAAGUCAAAUGCUGACAAAUGUAAAUAUAAAAAGUGCAUGUGCCCCCUCACACUGCCCUUCUCCCACUCCCCAUGGGAAACAGCAUGGCCAACGCCUCCUUACAUGGCGAUGUUCAGAUGCCACCAACAAAUGCCCUCCUCCUCUCCCUGAGAAGUUCUGACUUUUACUGUCAAGGAAACACUUAGCUGUUUUUAAGGAUCAGAGAAAUCAAAGCAUAGAGUACUUAAGUAAAGGCAAUGAGCAAUUCAGCUUUAUCAACUAGAAUAUUUAUGUAUUUAUUCAAAGCCACAGAUGUUAGAUGUUAGGUAGAAAGUAGGGAUCAACAGUUUAACAACUUAUGUUUAGAUGUUACUAUUCAAAUGUAUAAGAACAAGUGUCUCCCCUCUAAAAAUAUUUUUAAAAUCUCACACGAGACUCUAAACCAAAAACCAUUGUAAAAAAUCCUUUGGAAAUGGACCAUUGUAGCCAUUGAGAUGACAGGUAAAGGUGAGCAUUCUGAACAUAUAACAAAAUAUAAGAUAGGUAAUAAAUAUUCAAAGCAUGAAGGAGGUAUAACAUGAAGAGUAAAGUCCUCCCCUCAUCUCCCCAAGCCUCAGUGCUAAGAACUUAUAAUGUGUAAUUUCUGGUUUUGAUUCUUCUGAUAAUUAUCUCACAAACUCUGGACCAGUGCUGUAAAAGAGAAUUUUCUAUGAUGAUAGAAACAUCUAAAUCUGUGCUCUCUAAUAUGAUAGGCAUGAGCUACAUGUUGCUAUAAAUUUAAAUUUUAAUUAAUAAAAAUGUAAUACAAUAAAAUAUGUAGUUUCUCAGCUGCACUUGCUGUAUUUCAGUAAGUCAGUAGCCCCAUGUGGCUAGUGGCUACCACAAUGGACAGUGCAGUGAUUGAUAAUAUGUUUAUACCUCUGCUUUCUGCUUUAUCAACUUUAAAAAGACAUAGUGACAUCACAUGAAGGGAGAUGAAAAAUGUGGCUCAUUUCACUACCUCUUCUCUUUGCUCUCCUUCCAUUCCCAAUCCCUAUUAAGAACAUUUUCAUUUUAGUUCUACUGGAUUACCUUAAUAACUUUUAAUAAUAUAAUUAAAAUUGCUUAUUGAUGCAUCAAUUGUUGACUUUCAUACUUUGAUCCACCACCAUGUUAAAUCAGAAAAUUCAUGUUCUCUAUUGUUUCCCUCCAAAACUUCUGCACUUUUAGCUCCCAACCACCUGCUACUCUACUUGCCACAUCGGCAGUCUCUAGAUAGCAUUAAUAUUCUCUUCUGUGACUAUAAACUCUCCAUGCUUCUCUAAGAUUGGUUCUAAAAUUGGAAAGUAAUAACCAGCCUUUAUAAUAUUAUAAUUGCAUAAGAAUUAAUUUGUUACACAAAUAGUGUGGCCAAACCUGCAAAAAAGGAGACAUUUGUGAUCCUGUGCCACCAAACUUGUACCAUUCAAAAGUGAAUAUGCUAACUUCCGCCUUCAGCCAAGGUAGAGAACAGAUUUUCCACAUAAAGCAACCCAAAGCAGAAAAAAUAUAUAUGAAACAAUAGUUUUCAUAACCCCGGACCCUUAGCAUAGAAAGACAGUGAUGACUUAGAAAAGGGAAACAAAUGGGGUGAGCUCUAUGAUUGCCCCAGCUUAUAACGUGGAGUUUCCAGGCCACAAUGCAAGAAGGAGAAAGCCAGGCAGAGCCUAGAAGACCCCCUGAAUUGAAGCAAUGGAGGUGAGAUACCUGGGAGACCAAGGUGGCUAGAGUUUUCAGGACAGAGCACCCAAGAGGAGAGAGCCACACAAAGAAAGAGCAGGCAUCUGUAGAGUGCCCCUCUGGCAUCCAGCAGAGUACUGAUCACCACACCUGUGAGAACACUACCUGAGGCAAAGCACAGAACCACUCAAAUAACUGGAGCAACAACCAACCUUUUAACAAUUAUCAACCCUCAUGGAAGUCAUUUUAGACAUUUUCAUAAUCAUUCUCCCCCAUGAAAUUUUUAUGCCAUGCAUAUUAAUGUAUAUGUGAUACAUUAUGUAUAUGAUAUAUAUAUGAUACAAAUAUUAUGUAUACCUUUGCUUUAUGCAUACACAGUUAAAUUUUUUCCCUAAAAACUUAAUUUUGUCCCUUUGGGAGCAAUAUUGCCAUCUUUGAGAAUGUAUGGAUUAGAGAGAACAGUACACAGUACAUAGGGCCAGGAUAGAGUCAAUCAGAGAUCCUCAUACUUCAGAAGGGUCUUGUCUCAAGUAGGUAAUAAUUGGCCCCAAAAUAUACACUGCCCUGGUCCUACCUAAAACGUUUUAAAGCAAGACCUGAAAAGAUCAAACUGUUUUUCAGUAACUAAAUUGCUUGCCUGAUCAGGACCCAAAAUGGUAAAAUUCACAAAUGUUUCCAAAAGAGAAUUACUAAGCAUGCAAAGAAGUAGAAAAAUAUGACCUAUAAUGAAGAGAAAAUUAAAACCAACCCAAAACUGGCAUAGAUGUCAGAAUUAGUAGACAGGAGUGUUAAACCCUUACUAUAGCUGUAUUUCUUAUGUUCAAAAAGUUGAGUAGUGACAUGGAUAAUAUUUCUUAAAAGGCCGAAAUCAAACCUCUAAGGAUAAAAAUUUCAAUAUGUGAGAUAAAAAAUACAAUGGAUGGAAUUAAUGACAGAGUAGAUUUUGCAAAAGAAAAGAUUAAACCUGAAGACAUAGCAAUAAUACAAAGUAUCCAAAAUAAAGCACAGACAUAAAAGAAAACAUAAAACAAAAAAUGAACGACCAUCACUAAAAGGAAGACAAGAAGGAAGGAAAGAAGGAAGAGAAGACCAGAAAACAAAUAACAAAAUGGCAGGCAUAAAUCACUACUUAUCAAUAAUUACAUUUAAUGCAAAAUGGACUAAACUUUCCGAUCAAAAGACGUAGAGUGGCUGAAUGGAUGAAAAAAUAAGACACAGUGAUCUGUUGCCUACCAGAAACAUGCUUCACCUACAAAAAUACACAGACUGAAAAUAAAGAGAUGGAAAAUGAUAUUUCAUGCCAUUGAAAACCAAAAAAAAGAGCAGGAGAAGCUAUACUUAUAUCAAAAAAGUAGAUUUCAUGACAAAAACUGUAAGAAGAGAAAAAGAAGUCAUUAAAUGAUAAAAGGGUCACUUCAACAAAAGGAUAUGGAUAUUGUAAAUAUAUACACACCCAAAACUGGAGCAGCAAGCUGUAUAAAGCAAAUAUUAUUAGAGCUAAAGACAGAGAUAGACCCCAAUAUGAUAGCUGGAGACUUUAACACCCCAUUUUCAGCAUUGGCCAGAUCUCCCAGACAAAAAAUCAACAAAGAAACAUCAGACUUAUUCUACACGAUAGAACAAAUGGACCAAAUAGAUAUUUACAGAACUUUUCAUCAAAUAGCUGCAAAAUUUUUCUCUCCAGACCAUGGAUCAUUCUCAAGGACAGACCAUAUGUUGGGUCACAAAACAAAUUUAAAAUAUUCAAAAACAUUUAAAUAAUAUCAAGCAUUCUUCUCUGACUACAAGGGACUAAAACUACAAAUCAACAGCAAGAGGAAUUUUGGAAACUACACAAACACAUGGAAAUUAAAUAAUAGGCUCCUGAAUGACAAGUGGGUCAAUGAAGAAAUUAAGAAGGAAAUUGAAAAAUUUCUUAAAACGAAUGAUAAUGGAAACACAACAUACCAAAACCUAUGGGAUACAGUAAAAGUAAUACUAAAAGGGAAAGUUAUAGCUGUAAAUGCCUACAUCAAAAAGGAAGAAAAACUUCAAAUAAAUGACCUAAUGAUUCAUCUUAAAGAACUAGAAAAGCAAGGGCAAACCAAAUCCAGAAUUAGAAGAAAAAAAGAGGUUUUAGUAAAGGUCCGAGCAGAAAUAAAUGAAAUUGAAAUGAAGAAAACAAUACAAAAGAUCAAUGAAACAAAAAGCUGGUUUUUGAAAAGAUAACAAAAUUGACAACCUUUAGCCAGACUAAGAAAAAAGAAAGCAGGCCAAAAUAAAUAAAAUCAAAGAUGAAAAAGGAGACAUUGCAACCAAUACUGCAGAACCUCAAAAGGUCAUUAGUGGCUACAAUGAGCAACUAUAUGCCAAUAAAUUGGAAAAUCUAGAUGAAAUGGAUACAUUCCUAGACAAGUACAACCUACCAAGAUUGAAUCAAGAAGAAAUCCAAAACCUGAACAGAAAAAUAACAAGUAACAAGGUUGAAGCUAUAAUAAAAAGUGUCCCACUAAAAAAAGUCUGGGACACGGUGACUUCACUUUUGAAUUCUACCAAACAUUUAAAGAAGAAUUAAUACCAAUCCUACUCAAACUAUUCCGAAAAAUAGAAGAGGAGGGAAUACUUCAAAACACAUUCUAUAAGGCCAGUAUUAACCUGAUACUAAAACCAGACAAAGAGAUUUCAAUAAAAGAAAACUACAGGCCAAUAUCUGUGAUAAAUAUUGAUGCAAUCAUUCUCAACAAAAUACUAGCAAACCAAAUUCAGCAACACAUUAGAAAGAUCAUUCAUCAUAACCAAGUGGAAUUUAUCCAUGGGUACAGGGAUGGUUCAACAUAUGCAAAUUAAUCAAUAUGAUACAUCCUAUCAACAGAAUGAAGGACAAAAACCAAAUGAUCAUUUCAGCUGAUGCUGAAAAAGCAUUUGAUAAAGCUUAACAUUCUGUCAUGAUAAAAAAAAAAACCCUCAAAAAACUGGGUAUAGAAGAAAUAUCCCUGAACAUAAUAAAAGCCAUAUAUUACAGAGCCGUGUAUUACAGUAUGGCACUAUCUGUUAGUGCCAAAAAAUGGAAAAGUAUUCCUUAUUCAUGGAUUGGAAGAAUCAAUAUUGUUAAAAUUUCCAUAUGGCCCAAAGCAAUCUACAGAUUUGAUGCAAUCCCUAUCAAAAUACUACUGACAUUCUUCACAGAAAUUGAAAAAAAAAAUCCUAACACUUACAUGAAACCACAAAAGACCACCCAGAAUAGCCAAAGCUAUUCUGAGCAAAAAGAACAAAACUGGAGCAAUCACAUUACCUGACUUCAAAUUAUACUAUGGAGUUAUAGUAACCAAAGCAGCAUGGUACUGGCAUAAAAGCAGGCACAUAGACGAAUAGAACAGAAUACAGAACCCAGAAACAAAUCCACAUACCUACAGUGAACUCAUUUUCGACAAAGGUAGUAAAAAAACACUGGGGAAAACACUGUCUCUUUAAUAAAUGGUGCUGGAAAAACUGGAUAUCUAUAUGCAGAAGAAUAAAACUAGAUCCUUUUCUCUUGCCAUAUACAAAAAUAAAAUCAAAAUGGAUUAAAGACUUAAAUCUAAGGCCUCAAACUAUGAAACUACUACAAGACAACAUUAGGGAAACUCUUCAGGAUAUUGGUCUGGGCAAAAAUUUCUUGAGUAAUACCCACAAGCACAGGCAACCAAAGCAAAAAUGGACAAAUGGGAUCACAUCAAGUUUAAGAAGCUUCUGCACAGCAAACAAUCAACAAAAUAAAGAGACAACCCACAGAAUGGGAGAAAAUUUUUGCAAACUAUGCACCUGACAAGGGACUAAUAACCAGAAUAUAUAAGGAGCUUAAACAGGUCUGUAGAAAAAAAUCUAAUAAUCUAAUUUAAAAAUGGGCAAAAGAUUUGAAUAGACAUUUCUCAAAAGAAGACAUGCAAAUGACAAACAAGUAUAUGAUAAAUUUCUCAGCAUCAUUGAUCAUCAGAGAAAUGCAAAUCAAAACUACAAUUAGAUAACAUCUCACCCCAGUUAAAGGUGUGAGGAUAAAGGACUUUAUCCAAUAUCAGACAAUAACAAAUGCUGACAAGGAUGUGGAGAAAAAGGAACCUUCACACACUGUUGGUGGGAAUGUAAAUUGGUAUAAUCACUAUGGAGAACAGUUUGGAGAUCCCUCAAAGAAUUAAAAACUGAGCUACCGUAUGAUCCAGCAAUUCUACUGCUGAGUAUAUACCCAAAAGAAAGGAAAUCAGUAUAACAAAGAGAUUUCUGCACUCCCAUGUUUAUUGCAGCACUGUUCACAAAGGCCAAGAUUUGGAAGCAACCUAACUGUCCAUCAACAGAUGUAUGGAUAAAGAAAAUGUGGUACUUAUACACAGUGGUAUACUAUUCAGCCACAAAAAGAAUGAAAUUCUGUCAUCUGCAAUAACAUGGGUGGAACUGGAGGUCAUUAUGUUAAGUGAAACAAGCCAGGCACAGAAAGACAAACAUCACAUGUUCUCACUUAUUUGUGGGAUAUAAAAAAAUCAAAACAAUUGAACUCUUGGACAUAGAGUGUAGAAAGUUGGUUACCAGAGGCUGGGAAGGAUAGUGAGUGGGUGUUGGGGGAGGCGGGGAUGGUUAAUGGUACCAAAACUAGACAAAAGGAGUAACAUCUAGUAUUUGAUAGCACAGCAGGGGACAAUAAUAAUAACUUAAAUGUACAUUUCAAAAUAACUAAAAGAGUAUAAUUAGAUUGUAACACAAAGGAUAAAUGCUUGAGGGGAUGGAUACCCUGUUUUUCAUGAUAUGAUUAUUAUGCAUUGCAUACCUGUACUAAAAUAUCUCAUGUACUCCAUAAAUAUAUACACCUACUAGAUGCUCACAAAAAUUUAAAAUAUUUUUUUUUAAUGAACAGAGUAUUGGUGAGCUGUGGGACAACUUCAAGUGGCCUCACGUAAAUGUAAUUGGAGUAUCUGAAGGACAAGAGUGAGCAGGACAGAAAAAAAAGUUGAAAAAAUAAUAUCCAAACAUUUUUCACAUUUGGUGUACAUUGUAAACCCACAGAUUCAAGAAGCUCAACAAACCCCAGGAAUAAGAUGCAUGAAGAAAACUACACCAUGGCACAUACCAUAGUUAAAUUGUUUAAAACCCAUAGUGAUAAAGAAAAAAAAAUUGUACAGGAAGCUAGGGGAAAAAAAAGACAUUUCAUAUAGAAGAGCAAAAAUAAGGAUGGUAGCAGUUUGUCUUCAGAAACAAUGUAAGUGAGAAGGUAGUGAAGCAAUAUCUUCAAUGUACUGACUCCAAGAAAAAAAUUCUUCCUAGAUUUCUAUACCAGCAAAAAAUGUCUUUUAAGAGUAGAAAAAUGAAAAUCAGUUUGUAUGUACAAAAGCUGAAGCAAUUCAUUACCAACAGACUCACAUUAAAAGAACAGUUUUCUUAAGUGCUUAGGAAGUAGAAAAUGAAACCAGAUAGAAAUAUUGAUCUGCUCACACAAAAAAAGAAGAGUACUUGAAAUGGUAACUACAUAUAUAUUAAAUAAAUGCAUUUUAAUUUUUUUCUUAUUGCGUAAAUCUCUUCAAAAGAUAAGUGACAAUGUGGGCUUUAUAUGCAUACAUAGUAUGACAACGAUUGCACAAAGUCCUGGAGGGGAGAAAUGAAAGUAUAUUAUUGCAGGGUUUUUAUGCUAGGUGUGAAAUGGUAUAAUUGCACUUAAAGUAGGCUACUAUAUGUUAAUGAUGUAGACUAUAAGCCCUGGGAAACUACUAAAAUAACAAAAUAAAGAGUUAUAGCUAAUAAGCCAACAAAGGAAGUAAAAUAGAAUAAAAAAGUACUUAAAGCAAAAAAAGAGGGCAAAAAAGGAGCAAAGAAUACAUGGGACAAAUAGAAAAAUAGAAAACAACUGGCAUUAUUAAAUACAAAAACUUCAUAAAUUUGAUUUUAAAAUAAACUUCUGACCUUCAAAUGACACUAUUAAGACAAAACUCAAGCCACAGACUGGGAGAAAGUAUUUGCAGCACUAUAUUUGAUAAAGGACUUGUUUCCAGAAUAUUUAAAGAACUCCUACAACUCAACAGUCAGAAAGCAAACUCAUAUGAUAAAAAUCAUAGAUAAAGGACUUAAAUCUAAGGCCUUUUAUAUUGUUAAAAUAUAGCAAUAGCCAAAAAGCACUUGUAAAGAUGCUCAACUGCAUAAGUUAUUAGGGAAAUGGAAAUUAAAACCACAACAUAUGUCACUCCACACUCACUAAUAUGGAUAAAAUUUUAAAGACUGAUGAUAUGGUUUGGCUGUGUUCCCACCCAAAUCUCAUCUUGAAUUUCCACGUGUUGUGGGAGGGACCUGGUGGGAGGUAAUUGCAUCAUGGGGGCAGGUCUUUCCCUUGCUGUUCUCAUGAUAGCAAAUAAGUCUCACAAGAUCCGAUGGUUUUAUAAGGUGGAAUUUGCCUGCACAAGCUCUCUGCCUGCUGCCAUCCAUGUAAGACGUGACUUGUUCCUCCUUGCCUUCACCAUGAUUGCAAGGCCUCCUCAGCCACUUGGAACUGUGAGUCCAUUAAACUUCUUUCCUUUGUAAAUUGCCCAGUCUCCAGUAUGUCUUUAUCAGCAGUGUGAAAAUGGACUAAUAAAACUGACAAUACUAAAUGUUGGUGAAAAUAUAAUUCUUAUACAUUACUGUUGGAAAGAAAAUGGUACAACCACUUUGGAAAAUAGUUGGACAUUUUUAAAUAUUGUUAAACAUACACCUGACCUAUGAACUAACAAUUCUAAUUCCAACUUAUAUCUACUGUAAGACUCACUCAAGAAUAUUUGUAGUAGCUUUAUUCAUAUUCAUAGUAUUCAAAAACCUUAAACUACCCAAAUGACCAUCAAUACAAAAAUGGAAAAAUGAAUUGUGCUAUAUUCAGGAAAUAGAUGUAUGUUCAACUAUAAGAAGAAGGUGGUACCUGCAACAAACAUGGGUGACUCUAUAAAACCUCUUGCUGAGUGAAUAAGUCCAGACACUACAGACUACAUACCACAUAAUUCCAUUAGUUCUAGAAUAGGCAAAACUAAGAGAUAGUAAUAGAAAUCAUGUGAGUGGGCCAGGCGCGGUGGCUCAUGCUUGUAAUCCCAGCACUUUAGGAGGCCGAGUCGGGCAGAUCACGAGGUCAGGAGAUCGAGACCACGGUAAAACCCCGUCUCUACUAAAAAAUACAAAAAAAAUAGCCGGGCGUGGUGGCGGGCGCCUGUAGUCCCAGCUACUCGGAGAGGCUGAGGCAGGAGAAUGGCGUGAACCUGGGAGGCGGAGCUUGCAGUGAGCCGAGAUUGCGCCACUGCACUCCAGCCUGGGUGACAGAGUGAGACUCUGUCUCAAAAAAAAAAAAAAAAAAUCAUGUGAGUGGUUUCCUAGAGUGGGGUGGGUUGUAGUGGGAGUUGACCCCAAAGGGAACUUUCUGGAGUGACUUACAUGUAAUAUAGAUGUAGUAAGUCAAAAUCAUGAUUGGUGUAGUACACCUGGUUGCAACUGGUAUACAACUAGUACAAAUAGUACAACUAGUGUACCUAGUUAUACUUACAAUGUACAUGACAUCUGUCAAAACUCAUUGAAUUGUACAUUUGAUAUCUUUACAUUUUAUUGUAUGUAAAUUAUACCUUAAUAAAGCUGAUUUUACAUCUUAAAAAGAAAAAUAUACCAGAAAAAAUAGGAGAAAAACAAUUGGAAGUAGGAGUGGAGUGGGGAAUAUGCUGUAUUAUUAUUACUAUUAUUUCAUGCUUUUCCCUUAUCAGUAAAAUUUUCCUUGUUUCUUAAUCAUAUAACAUGUUACAACUUAUUAUUAUUAUUAUUUGAGACAGAGUCUCUCUCUGUCACCCAGGCUGGAGUGCAGUGGAGUGAUCUCUGCUCACUGCAACCUCUGCCUCCCGGGUUCACAUGACUCUUGUGCCUCAGACUCUGGAGUAGCUGAGAUUACAGGCAGCCACCACCAUGCCCAGCUAAUUUUUGUACUUUUUGUAGAGACACGGUUUUGCCAUGUUGCCCAGGCUGGUCUCGAACACUUGAGCUCAAGAAAUCCACCUGCCUCAGCGUCCCAAAGUGCUGGGAUUUCAGGCGUGAGCCACCACACCUAGCCUACAGCUUAUUUUCUUUUGAAGAUGUUUUCUUCUCUGAACCUUCUGAUUUCUUGUUUUAAUUUGGACAAAUUACUUGUUAGGCAUGCUGCACAGGUUUAAUUUUGGGAUUCACUUUUAGUUAUUUCCAUGCUGACUUAAUUUGAGUAUAUAUUGCUCUUUCUUGCAUUCUAUUUUCUUCUUUUUUAUUUUCUUUUUUUUCUGAGUACAUUUGUGAGUCAUUCUUUCAUAAAGUGUUUAUAGAAGGCAGAUUUUCUGAGUCCACAUUCAAAACUUAUUUACUGUUCUCAUAUCUGAUUGAAAGUUUGGCUGGGUAUCUAAUCCUAGGCUCAAAACCAUUUACUCUUGGAACCUUGAAGUAGCAUUACUUUUUUUUCUAGAACUAAUAUUGCUUAUAGGAAAACAGGUAGGUUUCUGAUCUUGUUCCUUUGUAAGUAAUCUGUUUCAUUAUCCUGGGAACUUUCUGGAUUUAUUCUUGCUUUUUUGCUGUUCUAAAAUGUUGUGAUGAUACAUAUAAGUUUAUUCAUUCAUUCAACAAAUAGUUAUUAUAGGUAUUGAUUGCUAGGAACCCUAGAGGCUGGGAAUGAAGCCAUAAGUUUCCUGUUCUUAUGGAGGUUACAUUCUAAUGUGGGAAAUAAACAAUAAAAUAUGAACAAAUAAGCAGAUGAGAAACCUUCAGAUAUCAGUAAGUACCAAGAAAAUACAACAGGAGAAUGGAAUAGGUCACAGUAAACUGGUGCAGGAUGAGGGGGUGAUUUCGAUGAGGUGCUUAGGGGUGGGGAGCCUCUCUAAAGUGACACUGAAGCAGAGCUCUGAAUAAUAAGAAGGAGCCACGUAGCAAUCUGGAAAGGAGCACUAGCAGAAAGGGAACACGACCCCAAAGGACCAAGGCAGGAACGGACUGGAUGUCUGGAAACAGAAACAUGCCAGGGUGACUGGAUAAUUUGUAAUCAAUGCUUGAAAGGGGUAGGAGAUGAGGUCUGAAAGCCAAAAAGGAGAUAGACCCUGCAGAACCUGCAAGGAACUCAGAUCUUAUUCUGGAUAAACUACGGAGGAAUAUGAUCUGAUUUCCACUUUAAAGAUCACUCUCACUGUUGUAUGGAAAUUGGGAUUAUAAAGGGUCUAGAGGAGGAACAGGAAGAUCUGUUAGGAAGCUAUUGCUGUCAACCAGGCAAGCAAUGAUGGUGGUUUGGAAUAGAAUGUGGCCAUAGAGAUGGGGAGAUGUUAUCAGAUGUGGAUCUUAAUUGGAUGCAGGAGGAAAGGAAAUGAAAUCAAGGAUGGCUCCUUGGUUUUCACCUGAGCAACUAGGUGAACAGCAUGCCAUUCAAUGAAAGCAUCAAGACCUGGGGGAAAGCAGGUUUGGAGAAAAACGUUAAAAGUGCUGUUAGGACCUAUCUAAAUUGAUGUGCCAGAUAGACUGAUGGAGCCAGUGUAUAGUCAAAUGGUCUAGGCAGCGAGACGUCAGGGACACAGGUUUGAGAGUCUUCAGUGUGUCAGUGAUGUUUAAUGUCCUGCUUGAUCACUGAUAGGCCCUUUUAUUAUGAAAUCUUGUGUGUCAACUCUGGAAAUAUUUUUCUACUGUUUAUUUAAUUACAAUCUCUCUAUUCUGACUAUUCUUUCUUUCCAGAAUUCCUAUUACAGCCAGCCUUUUGUAUCCAUGGAAUCCACAUUUAUAGGUUCUACUAACAGCGGAUAGAAAAUAUUUUUGUAAAAAAGAUGUACCUCUAAUUAAUGGUGUCCAGCAAAAAAAAAAAUUAAAAAUAAAAAUAAAAAAUAAAUGAACAAAGGAUGGUUGUGUCUGCA